Molecule: long non-coding RNA, 204 nt
Organism: Mus caroli (Ryukyu mouse)
Lineage: Eukaryota; Metazoa; Chordata; Mammalia; Rodentia; Muridae
Source: RefSeq, a predicted model, not a curated record
CCUGUCGAUACACUACAGAGACCCUGGAUUUUCUUCACAUCAGUCAGUCCUUAUGGUGAAGAAACCGAGGGAAGGCCUGAAACUUAUGCACCUUUAGGAAACCUACAUAACCAUUUCAAAUCAUGGGAUGCUCUGGAGAGUUUCAGGCUGACAUCAGAACGCAGCUGACUGUGCUGACUGGCCAUUGCUAAUCUUCACGCCCAG